GACGUAGAAUUACGAAGACCACAUACCAAGAGGAUAUUAUAUAUGGAUUUGUCUGAACAGCAAAACAAAUUGAGCCAGGUCAUGAAAACAGACAAUACAUUACUUGAUUACGUAACAUAAUUAAUAUGUACAAAUUGAUUAUUUAGUAGAAACAGACAAAACUUACUAUCAUCAUGUCAGACUUAAUCAAGAUUUGUAUAAUGUGGUCAAUAAAUCUACAAACGC
Molecule: long non-coding RNA, 225 nt
Filed under: Mytilus galloprovincialis (Mediterranean mussel)
Lineage: Eukaryota; Metazoa; Mollusca; Bivalvia; Mytilida; Mytilidae
Source: RNAcentral